Prunus persica (peach) is the source of this 5290-nucleotide long non-coding RNA. RefSeq lists it as uncharacterized. NCBI's taxonomy places the organism in Eukaryota, Viridiplantae, Streptophyta, Magnoliopsida, Rosales, Rosaceae. The transcript has 2 exons. The record is from RefSeq and is a predicted model, not a curated record.
UUUGUGGGUAAAAUGCCCUUAUGAGUGAACCCUACUCACCCCACCCUUUUCCACCCUCCCUCUCUAUAAAGCUGGUAGACAGAUUAUAUGUUGUAGAGUGGUCCUUGAGAGACUUUGUAUGUAAGGGGAUGACCUUUUUUUCCCAGCUCUAACUCUCUCUCUCUCUCUCUCUCUCUCUCUCUCUCUCUCUCUCUCUCUCUCUCUCUCUCUCAUUAGUAUAUAUCUAACUAUACAGGAUAUGUGAGAUCUGAAGUGAAUUUAUAAACAAGUCCUGGUCAUGCUUUUCCACAGCUUUCUUGAACUUCAAUUCUUUGCUGUCUAAGCUUAUCGCUUUCAAGAUUAGCUAGCGCCAUCGAAGCUCAAGAAAGCUGUGGGAGAACAUGGCAAUUCCGGACUCUGAUGAAUUGCUGCUUACAAUGUAAGUGCAGUGCAGCAGACAGCAGACAACACAAGUACUGUGUACAGACCAAUUCUUGUGUUUAGCCGAAGAAUUAUAAGGUCAUCUUCUUCAUCAUGUAUAUUUUCUGGUUUCCCUUCUCCAUAAGUUUUGACAGAAUUCUUUGAAUUUCCCUGAAGACAAACCCAUGAAGAUGAAAUUCAGUGUUCCUUUCUUCUUCUUUUUUACCUAAAACUUUGUUAUAUCUACUGGCACACGUUUGAGCCAUGCAUGGGAAGGGGCUGCAGAAUGGUAAUUUUAAAAUACAUUUUUCUUCUUGUCUUGUCUGGUACAUUUUGAUGAAAUUUCCAUUUAAUUUAAAAUAAUAUUCCUGAUUCAUUCAAUCAGUAUGGUGAAAUUUUGAGUUUGAUCUUCAGAGAAGAUUCCCUAUCUUUCCCUUUCCUUUUUAUCAUAAAUGAUGACACUUGUUCCUGUUAGCCUUUUGAUUUUGCUUCCACAUCUUCUCCUACAUUUCUGUGAAAAAGGUUAAACUUUGUCCCUAUCUGACAUAGGUUUUUUAACCACAUCCUCUCAUUCUUACAUCAGUAAUCAGUUUUAUUUUCUUCUCUCUCUGUCUCUUUCUCACACUCACUUGUAUGAAUUUCCUCCAGGCUAGGGUUGUCAAUGGCAUUUCACCCACACACAACUAUGCUUCCCUUGAUCAAAGACUCAAAUUUAAAAUAACAAAUCUUGAAAAUAAAUUAACUUUUUUUAGUUCAUUUGCAACUAGAUGCAUUGCAUGAAACAUCCAAAAGUUUACCUUUUCAAUGGUUCCAUGCUAGCUAGAAGAAACAGAUCUCAAAUUUGGCCCUAGCUAGCUAGCUCGCUCCAAUUAUAGCUCUUUCUGUAACUAAGUAGUUAGAAUGGACUACUUCUGCAUAUCAAUUAUGAAAUGUGAAAUCGAAUUCUGUAUUAUACAGAUUAUUUUUUUCAAUUAAUUGAAUAAUAUAUAAAUAUAUUUAACUUAUAUCUGAAUAGUUGAGAUCAGACUGAGCGACAUGUGAGUUGUUUGCUUAGAACAGCCUAUACGUACCCUCUCUCCAGUAAGUUGAUCAGCCAGAGCUAGCUAUAGCUUUAACUUUUGUCCUCAACACAUUACAUAUAUAUAUAUAUAUAUAUUUGAAUUGUAAGUUGAAUACGGACAAUUCGGCAACUAUAUGAUAUUUGGAAAAUUGCAAUCACUGGUCAGAUGGAUGCAACAUUAACAGCAUAUUGGCCAAUUUUGUAACAGCCAAAUUAAUAGCAUUAAAGUUAUCUGUCUGCGCAGUGCUCACAAGCUCCAUGCUUCAACUACUUCAUUACUUACAACUUCACAUGUCAAUCUCUCUCUCUCUCUCUCUCUCUCUCUCUCUCUCUGUUUCGUUUAGGCACAGAAUUUGACCAUUAUUAACCUGCACUGCAGAGUAAAAUGGAAGUGUAAUCAAUGUACAACAUGUAGUUUAGCGGGAUUAGCAAGCGACGUUAUACAAGUAAAACGAAUAUUUCUGAUAUAUAAAGGUUUUUAACAACCUCUUGCUAGCUAGGGGCAGGUCCACGAUAAUCAGUUCAGAAUAGGUCAGGCCAGACAAAUUAAGGAGGCAAUGGCAUGCAUGGUUGCAGUCAGUGUAUUUAAAUUUACUAGCUAGGCCUCAUUAAUUUCUUUAUCUAGUUACAGGAAUUGUAGACUCCUAACUUUCAUAUGGUGCUAUUAUUUAAGACGCGUGAUGAGAGAGAGGCAAACAGGUAGAGUUCAUGAAACCGUAAUGAUCAUCGCGAGAGGCGGCAAAGCUAUCUCAUGGAAGUUAACAAGCUGCUAUAAAUACAACUUACAUAAACUAAAAGUAAUUAAAUUAAUAUUUGGGAGAAGUCAGCAGCAUGCAUUUGGUUGAACGGUCAUCGCAAUUAGCAAGUUAAUCUGGUAUAAAAGGGUCAAGAAUUUGUACAAUGAUCCAAAUUCCAGCACUCAUAAGGCAUCAGCCAAAGAAAACACAUGCCAAAAUAUUAGAAAAAGAAGAUGAAUUGACUUUGCUAAAAGAUGCAUGGGUCAUGACCCUCCUCUCCGUGAUACAAGACCAUGUUUAGCAUCUGAAGAGUCAUGUUAUUUGAGUUCUGACGACCCCAACAUAAAACCACAGGUAAAAUCCUCAAAAAUCACUUGCAUCGUAAAUUUCUCCAUUGGUUCAAUGAAUUAUUCGGGAAAUCUUUUGGUUAUAUGCAGCCAAGCCAUCGAUGAGUUAACAAUAAACAAAGAUCCUCUUCGAGGAAAGGAACUUUCGGAAUUUAUGGAUCCAUUCCCAUUAACAAACAACGCAAAAACGUGAAGUGGGCCACUCGAUUCAUUUGCUAAGGUCCCGCAACAAGAUCAAGGAACCAUGUGUGUAAUUCAAAAGAAAACAGAUUGGGGAGAACAAAGAAUACUCUACCAAAAUAAAAAGAAAUAAAGAACACCACCAAUUGGAAGCAAAAAGUGCUUAUGACUCUUCUGGCAGCUCAACGUGAAAGAAAAGGGUGUGAAACAAACACACACGUCUGGAAACCAAACCAUGACCAAAUGAAAGAGAAAAAUGGCACGGAGAAGCAAUAAUUCUGUCACCAUGUGUUGUGGAAAGCAAUGAAACACUCACGUCACUGCAAUGUGAUAACUUUUGAUCAACCAAUCAAGCAAUAACUAUAUAUUAAAUAUGAUGAAAUGAAAUAAACUUGAAACGAUUGUCCUUUCAUCCAUUAUAGGUACUACUUAAGGUAGACGUACCAACUCAUGAUGAUGAUGAUGAUGAUCUCAUUUCUAGCUUCACCAAUCUACCGUGAAUCAUGGCAUUCAAAGUAGUUAAGCUAAAGGUAAUAAUAAUUCAACCAAACACAUAACCGCAAAGAAAAUCCAAAUUUAUAAGAUCUGUCAUAUUGCGAAUAUGGGUUACAUACAGCAAAUGAAAGAUGAGCAACUAUAAUACAUUUUAGAUUAGUGGGCGACAUUAGGACCUGUAUACAUGUUGGAUCAUAUGACCUGUGGAGAUGGCUCAUUAAUUUAGGGUGACAAAAGGGGUUGGUCCUAUUAAUUGGAUGUAUUCAAAUCCCCGUGAGAGCAGCAUCUGCAAAUCCAUCCGAAUUCUUGUGUGGAGAUGACACAGCCAUGAAUACUCUUGCUUUGGCUCUUAGUUAGGACCUUGCCAGUGAAAAAUGUGGAUGCCCUUUUUCACACUUGGUAGAUCCUUAGCAUAUUUGGGAAAACAUAACCCUAAUUUUCUUCAGGCAAAGCAACACGACAUCUCUUGGUUAAAUCAUCUUGCUUUAUGCAUUUUGUUCCUUAUUUGAUACAUAUAUAAAAGCUUCACCUAACCCAUAAGAUUUCAAAUAAUUGCUCCAAAGCUAGCAAGUAAGAGUGAGAGCUCGAUAUGAGAAAAGGAAAGGCAACAACACAAAACCUUGUGGUCCAUGCAGAACAAACCUUACCUUACCAUGUGUUUUGGGUUUCAUAGCUCUCAAUACUUGUGUAAAAGGAAAAACCAAUAAGAGAAAGCCUAGCUAUAUCAACUGAACGUACCUUAUUACACUCAACAAGUGAAAUAAUGGUAUGUAGCAAGAGACGGCAUGGCAGAUGAGAAACGGAUGCAAAGUAAUGAGGCUGCAAUGACUUAGUGAAAGUCACUCACGAAUGAGGCAGAUAUGAUAAAACGAUGUUUGACCCUAAUUGAAUCUCAGAAAUCUCAUGUAUAUAAAAAUGACUCGACUAUCUGAACGAUCUGUCACGUUAUCGAACGACACUAGUGUAUAGAUGUACAGAUCGAUAGGCACAUUGUAUCAUAUUUAGGAUGUUAAGAGUUUAAUCAGCUCUUAUGUUUUGAUGCAAAUUUAAGAAAAUAUAAACAUUCAUGUGCGCACACUGUAAAGAAUGCCUAAUUAAAUGAAGAACAUUAUCAUUAUAAACAAAAUAAUGAAAAGACAAGAAUCUAAUCUCUGCUGGCAUUAAUAAACAAUGUCAAACGUUAAAUACUGCUGAAUGAAUCAUAAAGUACAGAUGGAUCAGAGAGAACUACUUAUCCAGAAUGUUCUCUGAAGCAUCGAUCAGAAGGAGGGUGAAGAUUUCUCCCCAGAGGAACUGCAUGUGGAUGCAUUGUCACCGCUGAUACAACUCACAGAAAAAAAAAAUAUCAUCAAGUGCUACAAUAAUCUCACUAAUAAAAAUAUUUAAUUUGUAAUAUUGUAUUAUUAUAUAUGGAUCAUCACAUACAGAUCAGAUAGAGAAAUCAGAUCUCCAUGUAAUCCGAAACGCAAAGCUUGUAAAAGCCCCUUAUGAAGUAUUAGGGUUGAGAUAAUUUUUCAUUAUGGCAUGGUUUAGAAAAACACCCAUCAUCCACCACCUACUUCAAAAUCAUGAAAGACUGAAUUUUUAUGGGUACUGAGAAACAAAUCAAGUGACAAUUGUGCAAAGUGAGACAAAAUUUGAGUGAUUUAAAAUGUCUUUGUAAAUUGUAAGUUUAGGCUUCAUACCAAGAUAUAAAUAUAUAUAUGUGUGAUGCUGAAGAUCGGAUAGUGAUUUUUUAUUGAACCUAUCUGUAUCUUCCCACAGCUUUAUUGAACCGCAAGCCAGUUAGAGAGAGAGAGAGAGUGAGUGAGUGAGUGACUGCAGCCUCACAUGCAAAGAUCGAUCGAUCUCAUGGAUGCAGUUCAAGAAAGCUGUGGAAGAAUACAAAGAGGAUCAUCGUCUAUGGAGGAAAUGGAGAGAGAGGGAGAGAGAGAGAGAGAAAGAGAGAGUCACCAAAGCCACACCACACAUAGAGAGAUAAGAUGCUUAGAAGCUUCAACCAAUCAGAGCUCUAAUCUGAGAUGAGGCAGAAUUGUCAAAAAGCAGAGAUAACAACAAAAACAAAAAAAAAA